GUAAAGGGUGUGUAGGCUGCUUUCAAAAUCAUAUCUUUCAAAUAGCUCUUAUAACGAAGAUCUGUUUAAAGGCAWMAUACUUUAAAUAUCUUCWUUCUAAGGUAAAGAUAGGAUGAAUAAAAGCUAGAAUCAAAACGAGGAUAAGCCAAAUAAUACUUAGAGUAGGGUSGAUAUCCGUAGAUACUAAGUGGAAUAUUAAAAGUGAAAACUAUUUAUCUAGAAAUGAUUGACGCUGAGAWACGAAGGUGAGAAUAGGAAAUAGGAUUAGAUACCCAGAUACCUCUCACUGUCAACG
Molecule: ribosomal RNA, 295 nt
Filed under: Termitomyces sp.
Lineage: Eukaryota; Fungi; Basidiomycota; Agaricomycetes; Agaricales; Lyophyllaceae
Description: partial small subunit ribosomal RNA
Rfam family: Bacterial small subunit ribosomal RNA
Source: RNAcentral